UCAUAAUGAGAACAUUUUCACAGUGAAAG
RNAcentral lists this non-coding RNA (29 nucleotides) under Mus musculus (house mouse). The record is from RNAcentral. Lineage: Eukaryota; Metazoa; Chordata; Mammalia; Rodentia; Muridae.